AGCCCUUGCGGGGUGGAUUAGUGGGCGAACGGGUGAGUAACACGUGGGCAAUCUGCCCUGCACUCUGGGACAAGCCCUGGAAACGGGGUCUAAUACCGGAUAUCACUUUUCCUCGCAUGGGGGAGGGUUGAAAGCUCCGGCGGUGCAGGAUGAGCCCGCGGCCUAUCAGCUUGUUGGGGGGGUGAUGGCCUACCAAGGGGACGACGGGUAGCCGGCCUGAGAGGGCGACCGGCCACACUGGGACUGAGACACGGCCCAGACUCCUACGGGAGGCAGCAGUGGGGAAUAUUGCACAAUGGGCGGAAGCCUGAUGCAGCGACGCCGGGUGAGGUAUGACGGCCUUCGGGUUGUAAACCUCUUUCAGCAGGGAAAAAGCGUGAGUGACGGUACCUGCAGAAGAAGCGCCGGCUAACUACGUGCCACCAGCCGCGGUAAUACGUAGGGCGCAAGCGUUGUCCGGAAUUAUUGGGCGUAAAGAGCUCGUAGGCGGCUUGUCGCGUCGGUUGUGAAAGCCCGGCCCUUAACCCCGGGCCUGCAGUCUAUACGGGCAGGCUAGAGUUGGGUAGGGGAUAUCGAAAUUCCUGAUGUAGCGGGGAAAUGCGCAGAUAUCAGGAGGAACACCGGUGGCGAACGUGGAUCUCUGCGCCGAUACUGACGAUGACGAGCGAAAGUGUGGGUAGUGGAACAGGAUUAGAUACCCUGCUAGUCCACGCCAUAAACCGUAGAGAUACUACGUGUGGCGCGCACAUU
RNAcentral lists this ribosomal RNA (750 nucleotides) under Streptomyces hebeiensis. RNAcentral's name for it is "bacterial SSU rRNA". It matches the Rfam family "Bacterial small subunit ribosomal RNA", at positions 74 to 835 of the family's 1533-position model. The record is from RNAcentral. Lineage: Bacteria; Bacillati; Actinomycetota; Actinomycetes; Kitasatosporales; Streptomycetaceae.